This is an RNA transcript of Dermacentor silvarum, 3742 nucleotides long. RefSeq lists it as uncharacterized. The transcript is spliced from 33 exons. The record is from RefSeq and is a predicted model, not a curated record. NCBI's taxonomy places the organism in Eukaryota, Metazoa, Arthropoda, Arachnida, Ixodida, Ixodidae.
CCACUGACGGAGAUUGACUUGUCCAACUGUGGCAACCAGUCGCGUGCGCCGCUGUCAUAUGGUCCCUUGUUGGCCACUUCUGCGCCUCUAUUGUCGCCAGUGGGCAGUGGCCAACCGUUCAUCCCGGGGACUGUCUACUGUUCUGUGCUUGAUGCUAUGAUGGUAUCUUUCCUGCAUUCGGCUACAAUGGCUUUUUCUCAGCGGUGCACAGUGCGUAUUCUGUCCCGAUGGGCUGUGUGUGCUGGUUGAAGCCGACGGCGUUCACCCGGCGUGGAAGUCGCUCGCGGGCUGUGGAGAUGCGCCGUUAUGUGAUCGUCACCGAUGGUUCACUGCAACCUUGGCAAAAAUGACUGUCCACUUACGGGGAUUGACUUGGCACUCCAGCUGUAGCAACCUCUCGCGUGCGCCGCCGUCGUGUGGGCCCAUGGUGGCCACUUCUGCGCCUCUAUUGUUGCCAGUGCGCAGUGUAUUCGGAGUGCCGUCGGCCAAAGCUAUUCUGAGCCAGGACUCGGCAACUUCGUGGCGCCAUCCUGCAGACGCAUCGCAAGUUUCUGUGGACACUCUACACUCUUGGCUCGGGCAGUGGCCACCCGUUCAUCCCCCGGGGACUGUGCGCUGUUCUGUACUUGAUGCGUCGAUGCACCUUCGCUGCAUCGCGCUGCCAUGGCGUUUUCUCUGUGGUGCUCAGUGCGUGUUCGGUCCGGAUGGCACAGGUUACUGUGGCAUCCACCUCCGCGGACUAAAUGCAGCCAUGCCGGAAUUGGAGGAACCGAGUCGGCGUUGAGCAAAGCAGUUUCUAGAAGGCGAGUGGAGCUGCUUGCUCCCGUGAAACCGAGUGGAUGUUGAGCAAAGCAGCUUGCAGUCUUUGUGACAGCGGCACUUACCGGCAGAAUGGUCGACGUGCAAGUGACGUGUGCAUCACAUCAGGAGCGUAGAGGAUGCGCCAAAAUGCUUUCAGCCAAUACCGUCGGUCUUGGGGAGUGUGCACUGUUCUGUGGAUGUGGUGCCUGGAUUGUAUCUUCCUUGCAUCCGGCUACGCUGGUUUUUUCUCGGCGGUGCACUGCUCACACCGCGUGCGCCGAUUAAAGCGGCCGGCGUUCAUCCGGCGUGGAAGUCGCUCGCGGGCUGCGGAGAUGCGCCGUUAUGCGCUUCGUCACCGACGGAUUGCGGCUAUCGCUGCAACCUUGGCGAAAAUGACUGUCCACUUACGGGGAUUGACUUGGCACUCCAGCUGUGUCAACCUGUCGCGUGCGCCGUGUGGGCCCAUAGUGGCCACUUCUGCGCCUCUAUUGUUUCCAGUGCGCAGUGUAUUCGGAGUGCCGUCGGCCAAAGCUAUUCUGAGCCAGGACUCGGCAACUUCGUGGCACCAUCCUGCAGACGCAUCGCAAGUUUCUGUGGACACUCUACACUCUUGGCUCGGAUUCUGGGGCUCAAGUCACACACCUCAGUUCCAUCGUCACCGUGUUCGUGCAGAUGGGGCUGUUGUCGAGCCAUACUUCUUAAAUGCGCUGUUCCAAUCAGUCACGUGCCACACGAGGAAGACGUUACCAUUCGUUAGCGAGAGCGUCACCAAAGGCAGCCGUUAUCGUCGCUCCCAGCAGUCCCCUAAAAGCUAUAUAGCAGUAUGCCUGGAGAGACUUUGCCAGCCAAAUGCUAUGCCAAGACCUGGAACCUUCGUAAGGCCGUGUGGCCUGCGAGCCGGUCGACAGCGAGGCCUAGCGUUCAGGAGGACGACACAGUGAGCCCUGGCGGAGACGCUUCUUCCUGCGCGGGAUACUGUGGCAUCAACCUCCGCGGAUUGAAUGUGGUCGGACCAGAAUUGAAGAAACCGAGUCGGUGUGGAGCAAAGCACCUUGCAGUUUGGGUCUUAACGGCACUGGCCAGCAGAAUUGGGCGGCCUACUGUGGCAUCCAUCUCCAAGGAAGGCGAGUGGACCUGGAUGCUCCCAUGAAAGCGAGUCGACUUUGAGCAAAGGAGCUCGUGGCAUUCGUCACUGCUGAGGCCAAUGCCGUUGAAAUAUGCCGUGCUGUUGUGGAUGUCGGGAGUUUCGGCAUCGUAUUCUACAUCGUGAACUUCGUAGCCGACGUGCAAGUGACGUGUGUAUGACAGCAGGAGCGUAGAGGAUGCGCCAAAAUGCUUUCAGCGAUGUGCAAACAACGUGUGCAUGGCCUCAGGAGCAUAGAGGAUGCGCCAAAAUGCUUUCUGCGACGUGCAAACAACGUGUGCAUGGCCUCAGGAGCGUAGAGGAUGCGCCAAAAUGCUUUGUGCUGUCCCCUAACGGAGACUCCGGCUAUGGCAAUCGGUCGCGUGCGUCGCAGUCGUGUGGGCCCUUGGUUCCUGCUGUAUGCAGUGGGCCGCUGCUAACCGUUCAUCUCGGGGAUUGUACGCUGUUCUGUAUCUGUGCGUGAUACGUCGAUGGUAUCUUCCCUGCAUCGGGCAAGAAUGGCUUUUUCUCAGCGCUGCUCAGUGCGUGCUCAGGCCGGAUGGAAGGAUCCACAUCGUUGCCUCGUUGCCAUGUAUGUCAGUGGAAGCGCCCGGUGUCCACCUGUUGUGGCAGUCAGUCGCGUGCAGCGCCGUUACCGACUCGUCAGCGGUGGUCAUUCCCAUCGCUGUAUCCUUUAGGACACUGACGGUUGCCGACCUCGAUGUUGCGACGGCCUCUGUCCAUCCGCAGUGGCAAUCAGUCGCGUGCAGCAAGGUUCACGCCCUCAUCUGUGAACGCAGUCAUCACGGCCUGCCUGCUGUCACGAGGGAUUAAUCCACGUACGGAGAUGGACACAGCACUCCGGCUGUGGCAAUCGGUCGCGUGCGCCGCCGUCACGUGGUCAGUGGGGUUUCUGCAUCCCGGUUGUCACCACCAUUGAACGGAUCAUCGUUUGCGAGGCGGCGCACCUGAGGGACACUGACGUUGCUGCCUUUGUACGGAUUGUAUACGUCGGUGCAAGCGGACGGCGUUCACCCGCUGUGGCAGUCAGUCGCGUGCUGCGAAGUUCCGCCGUCAUUUGCUUGGAAGGUUGCAGUCAACGGCGCAUCCCUGGUGACGCUGAGGAAUUCGCUGUGUGGUUUUGGAUGUCAAAACUACAACAUCGUGUUCCAUUCGUGAACUUUGAGGAAUAUGCAUCAGCGGAGGAUUUGUGGCAGCUUCGGGACACCUUCGUGGCAACGUAGCCAUAGCUGUGCACCCGAAGUGGACAUGCUGGAUCCUAGCGGUCGCGCACUCGUCGCUGGUUCCCUGCUGUCACCACUGGUUAGUGGUCUACUACAGUGUGAAAACACCAGUGGAAGCGCACUUGGAUACCCUGCGGGAGUCAGUCACGUGUGUCGCCGUCAUGUAUUCGUCAGCGUCGCAGUCGUCGUUGCAGCCACCUUUGCGCGGCCUACUGCGGCAUCCAGCGUCGCUAUGGACGCUUUCAUUUCUUGUAGCCGACGACAGAAGCAUUGACAAAGGCGGAGAUGACUCCAGAGAAACCGACCGAGGAGAUCAAUGCCCAUUAUGGUGCAGUUGUCGUCGAGUCUUACUUAUUCUGCUGUGACAAUCGGUGGUGUGCUACAUGCCACAUGAACGUGACAUCUCCUCAUCAGCGACAACAUCACGAAAGGCCCUCAUGGGACAACCAACUUCCAGGGCGUGACUCCGAUGCACGGGGAGGCCGCUGCAGCAGUCAGUCCAACAAGGUCUUCGGGCCACCCUCAAGGCGUAGUACACCAGGCUUCAACAAAGAAUAUCGAUAGAGGAGAAUCA